UGGGGAAUCUUGGACAAUGGGGGCAACCCUGAUCCAGCCAUGCCGCGUGAGUGAUGAAGGCCUUAGGGUCGUAAAGCUCUUUCGCCUGUGAAGAUAAUGACGGUAGCAGGUAAAGAAGCCCCGGCUAACUCCGUGCCAGCAGCCGCGGUAAUACGGAGGGGGCUAGCGUUGUUCGGAAUUACUGGGCGUAAAGCGCGCGUAGGCGGACUGAUCAGUCAGGGGUGAAAUCCCAGGGCUCAACCCCGGAACUGCCUCCAAAACUAUUGGUCUAGAGUUCGAGAGAGGUGAGUGGAAUUCCAAGUGUAGAGGUGAAAUUCGUAGAUAUUUGGAGGAACACCAGUGGCGAAGGCGGCUCACUGGCUCGAUACUGACGCUGAGGUGCGAAAGUGUGGGGAGCAAACAGGAUUAGAUACCCUGGUAGUCCACACCGUAAACGAUGAAUGCCAGUCGUCGGGUAGCAUGCUAUUCGGUGACACACCUAACGGAUUAAGCAUUCCGCCUGGGAGUACGGUCGCAAGAUUAAAAGCUCAAA
RNAcentral lists this ribosomal RNA (532 nucleotides) under uncultured bacterium. Its description in RNAcentral is "bacterial SSU rRNA". It matches the Rfam family "Bacterial small subunit ribosomal RNA", at positions 355 to 905 of the family's 1533-position model. The record is from RNAcentral.